GCCAUCGUAGUAUAGUGGUCAGUACUUCCGCUUGUGGAUUCCAGAGACUUGAAAAAUCCCUCAAUACACGAAUUCGCGGACAACAUUGGUUCGAUUCCAGUCGAUGGCA
Non-coding RNA from Cercophora scortea, 109 nucleotides. Lineage: Eukaryota; Fungi; Ascomycota; Sordariomycetes; Sordariales; Lasiosphaeriaceae. The record is from the annotation of a GenBank genome assembly.